GACGAACGCUGGCGGCGUGCUUAACACAUGCAAGUCGAACGGGUCUGCCCUGUUUUUUGCGGGGUGGGUCAGUGGCGAACGGGUGAGUAACACGUGAGUAACCUGCCCCUCACUUCUGGAUAACCGCUUGAAAGGGUGGCUAAUACGGGGUGUUCUGGCUGUGCCGCAUGGUGUGGCUGGGAAAGAUUCACUUUUGUGGUGUUUUGGUGGGGGAUGGGCUCGCGGCCUAUCAGCUUGUUGGUGGGGUGAUGGCCUGCCAAGGCCUUGACGGGUAGCCGGCCUGAGAGGGUGGGCGGUCACACUGGGACUGAGAUACGGCCCAGACUCCUGCGGGAGGCAGCAGUGGGGGGUAUUGCACAAUGGGCGGAAGCCUGAUGCAGCGACGCCGCGUGAGGGAUGGAGGCCUUCGGGUUGUGAACCUCUUUCGCCGGUGAAGAAGGUCCUGCUCUUUGUGGUGGGGUUGACGGUAGCCGGGUUAUGAAGCGCCGGCUAACUACGUG
Molecule: ribosomal RNA, 500 nt
Filed under: uncultured bacterium
Lineage: Bacteria
Description: partial 16S ribosomal RNA
Rfam family: Bacterial small subunit ribosomal RNA
Source: RNAcentral